RNAcentral lists this ribosomal RNA (1474 nucleotides) under metagenome. RNAcentral describes it as "bacterial LSU rRNA". It matches the Rfam family "Bacterial large subunit ribosomal RNA", at positions 1308 to 2910 of the family's 2925-position model. The record is from RNAcentral.
AGCGACAAACAGGGUGAGAGACCCUGUCGCCGAAAGUCCAAGGGUUCCUGCUUAAAGCUAAUCUGAGCAGGGUGAGCCGACCCCUAAGGCGAGGCCGAGAGGCGUAGUCGAUGGGAACCGGGUUAAUAUUCCCGGGCCAGGAGGAAGUGACGGAUCGCAGAGCUUGUCAUCCCUUAUCGGAUUGGGGUGGCCUGUGAGCGGUUCCUGGAAACAGCCCUCCAUCAGAUCGUACCCUAAACCGACACAGGUGGACUGGUAGAGCAUACCAAGGCGCUUGAGAGAACUACGUUGAAGGAACUCGGCAAAAUGCCUCCGUAACUUCGGGAGAAGGAGGCCCCGUUGGCGCGCAAGCGUUGGCGGGGGGCACAAACCAGGGGGUGGCGACUGUUUACUAAAAACACAGGACUCUGCGAAGCCCAAAGGCGACGUAUAGGGUCUGACGCCUGCCCGGUGCCGGAAGGUUAAAAGGAGGGGUGCAAGCUCCGAAUUGAAGCCCCGGUAAACGGCGGCCGUAACGAUAACGGUCCUAAGGUAGCGAAAUUCCUUGUCGGGUAAGUUCCGACCUGCACGAAUGGCGUAACGACUUCCCCGCUGUCUCCAACGUAGACUCAGCGAAAUUGAACUCCCCGUGAAGAUGCGGGGUUCCCGCGGUCAGACGGAAAGACCCCGUGCACCUUUACUACAGCUUCACACUGGCAUCAGGCCAGGCAUGUGCAGGAUAGGUGGCAGGCUUUGAAGCGGGGACGCCAGUUCCCGGGGAGCCUCCCUUGAGAUACCACCCUUGCCUUGCCUGAUGUCUAACCGCGGACCGUCAUCCGGUUCCGGGACCCUGUGUGGCGGGUAGUUUGACUGGGGCGGUCGCCUCCCAAAGAGUAACGGAGGCGCGCGAUGGUGGGCUCAGGUUGGUCGGAAAUCAACCGUCGAGUGCAAUGGCAUAAGCCCGCCUGACUGCGAGACUGACAAGUCGAGCAGAGACGAAAGUCGGCCAUAGUGAUCCGGUGGUCCCGCGUGGAAGGGCCAUCGCUCAACGGAUAAAAGGUACGCCGGGGAUAACAGGCUGAUACUGCCCAAGAGUCCAUAUCGACGGCAGUGUUUGGCACCUCGAUGUCGGCUCAUCACAUCCUGGGGCUGGAGAAGGUCCCAAGGGUACGGCUGUUCGCCGUUUAAAGUGGUACGUGAGCUGGGUUUAGAACGUCGUGAGACAGUUCGGUCCCUAUCUGCCGUGGGUGUCGGAGACUUGAGAGGAGUUGCCCCUAGUACGAGAGGACCGGGGUGAACUCACCACUGGUGGACCUGUUGUCGUGCCAACGGCAGUGCAGGGUAGCUAUGUGCGGACAGGAUAACCGCUGAAGGCAUCUAAGCGGGAAGCCCCCCUCGAAACCAGGUCUCCCUUGAGGGCCGUGGAAGACCACCACGUCGAUAGGUCGGAGGUGUAAGCGCAGCAAUGUGCUCAGCUGACCGAUACUAAUCGCUC